UUUCAGAUAGCUUCAGUCAUUGUGUUUCUUCCCCAGGAUUGAGCUAUAUGCCGAUGAGGUCUGACCAGGGGAUUGAGAUAUUUGAAGUGUGCACUGGAGUUAUUGGAAGAUAAUUCCAUCAAUGAAUUCAUAACUUUUGGGACAUAAUAAGUUUAGUGGCUACACCGAGAUGUAGAGUUUCUGCGGGAGCGUGAAGCUCGAUCUAAUUCCGCACCACGACUAUGGUUGCGUAUUUGUUGUUCCGUUGAUCUUUAUGUUGACUAGGGUUGUCCAAAAGCUUAAUUUGUCCAUUGAUUGGAAGGAUUUAGCUAUUGGAGAGGAGG
Non-coding RNA from Lolium perenne, 323 nucleotides. The record is from RefSeq and is a predicted model, not a curated record. Lineage: Eukaryota; Viridiplantae; Streptophyta; Magnoliopsida; Poales; Poaceae.